Molecule: long non-coding RNA, 3058 nt
Organism: Athene cunicularia (burrowing owl)
Lineage: Eukaryota; Metazoa; Chordata; Aves; Strigiformes; Strigidae
Exons: 3
Source: RefSeq, a predicted model, not a curated record
AAAAACCUCUAAUGACCUUGUUAGAAGCAGGUGACUAAGAGCUUAGUUUUUAGGCUUCUCCCUAGAAAUUUAGAAGCUGUUUCAGUGGUGACCCCUUUCUUAAGGGGCAUGAACAAAUCUGUGGAAUGAAAAAAUUCCUACCACUGCAUUUUUCCAAUUCUUUCUGCAGCAUGAUUUAUCCAGCGCCAUUUAUCUGUCAUCUAAAUAGUUCCAGGAGGUUUUUAUAUAAAAGCUCACCAUAAUGGAGACUCUGUAAAAACUACCUUAUGGGUCAGAGAAGUGGGUACCACUGCAUACUGGUUGUCUGGGUGAUCACAUAGGUGUGAAAUGUAUGGGAAAAGAGAGCUUUUCAUAUUCCAUCUCCCUGAGGCCAGGCUUAAAGGCAUUUAGGGUUGUAAUUACCAAGAUCUGCCCACAAACAGCAUGUGCAUCACCAGGAAUGAAGAAACCUCAGCUAAGAAGGGUCCAACACUGUCAUAGUCAGCGUGUCUGUGUAGUUGAGCAGACUUUGCUGUUUACUGUCUGCACUGAGUGCACUAAAAAUAUUUCAUAUAUUCAGUGGUGCUGAUGCAGAUUCACUUUGCCUGAUUUUAUUACAGGAGUGCAGAGCUGCAGUGCCUCCUUGCUCUUAAUAAAGGUCAGUCUUUUGCUGAGAUAAGUUGUUUCCAAAAGUGCAAAAGUGGUAAAAUUUAAGAUAUGUGGAGGUUAAUUACAUGUAACUGAGAAUUGGGGGGAAAAAAAAACCCAACCAAACAAACCCACAACCCUGCCAAAAUUCCUGCUGAAUUAAAGCAACCACACUUAUGUCAGAAGAGUGGAGGAGUGAAACAAAAUACUGCAUAGAAACCAGAUUGUUAAGAUCUGGGUUAUGGACAGCUUGCUGAUGCACUGUCUAUUUUACACUUUUUUACAAUUUUUUUUUACACUGCUUUACUAUUUUUUUUAUAAAUCUGCUUGCAAGUAAACUUAAAAGACUUAAGAUGAAUGCUUCUGAGCUGUGCUUUGUUCUCCAGGGCAAGCAGCUAUCUUCUAGUUUGCGCUUUGCCACAGCAGAUGAGCAAAGCUGGAACGUUUCCCUUGGUGUGGGCUGAGGUCAUUUCUUCCAGUGAGUCUGUGCGUUACAUUGACAGAAGAUGCACAAAAAAGCUUCUGACGUGAAUUCACGCUCUAACGGUGAAACCACUAGAUGGCUGCAGUGGGGGAGCUGGUUCCCACUAGCUGGCAGGGAAAGGUUCAGACAAACGCUUCCUUUACUAAGGAUCAGCUUUAAACCCGGAAUGUGGUGUGAAUGCUCGAUGAAGAAAUAAACCCUAGAAAUACAGAAAACUCCUCUGAAAACUACCAAAACUCAGCAUUGAGAAACAUUCCCUUAGGUUGACUAAAGAAAGGAUGAAAAGGAAAAAAAUAACGCUUAUUACGUGGCCUAAAGAUAAGUGUAUGCAUAAACAUGGUCUCAUUAGUAUGCAUGAACCAGUAAAACCAGUAUUGCCAUAAGAUCUCAAAGAACUUGGAUGAGUUUUCUUUAAUCAUUUUUUUUAUCGUUUUGGAUUUUUUUUUUUUCUUUUUGUUUGCUGUAUUACAAAGAAUACAGUGUAGCACUUUGAGAAAAGGUGGACCAGUUCUCCUCUAGAGUCAUGGUGUGACCACAGUGGGAGUAAUUUGGAAAUGCAGAUGUUCUUUGCAGAGAAUGGUGGUAAUAGCAAUUAAAAAAAAAAAUCUAUAGUGAUGGCCAAGACACUGAUUCAGUCUGACAGUAUCCAAUACGAUUAGAUAAUACAAUGUACAGGCUUACUAUUGGAUUUUUCUCUCUGGGCUAUGCAGGGGCAUCUUUUCUGUUCAGACCUUUUACACCUUUUUCCCCACCAUUCCCAGACUUCAUUUUUUUUCACUAGGCCUGUUACUGCUAUAUUACUGUAAGAAAAGAAAAUUACUUGAAAGCGUCAGCUCAGGCUCUGUACUGCAGUAACAUGUUGAUUUUUCUCCUGUCUACCCUCGUGGGGUUCCUUUCAGAGACAUAAACUUAUAUCCUAAGGUAUGACAGACAUUUCUUUUAAUUACGAGAAUAUUUUAGUACAUAUAUCUCAGUGUUGCAAUUCAUUCUUUUAACAGUGUAAUGCUGUGAGACACUUGGCAUUUGCUAGAUUUUUCUUCGCUGAGCUCCUGUUCAUCUUGUUACGUUCGUUAGCAGGAAGGAGUCAGACAAGCUUUUACAUUUUGGCUCCCUGGCUGUAACCUGAAGUUGGAAUUUUUAUCUCUGUAUAUUAACGUUCGGUUCAGAAGCAAAAAUCAAGGUGGUGAGUUCCCUGUGAUAAGCUGCAUUUCUUAUUUAAGUUUUUUAAGUCAAGAUUAUGUAAACUUGAAUGUUCCCCAAAUAAUUUUGCCUGUGUUUUUUGUUAAUUUCUGGGUGCAGAUGGGUCUAGCCCUUCCCCUGGCCCAGCUGAAAUUAAUGUGUCCUGAGUAUGUUGUGACUGAGAACACACCUUACCCUUCUCAGACCAAACGUGCUCAGCAUUCCUGUCUCCCUACAGCUUCCCCUCGGGAACGUGCUCCCCGUGCCCUCAUUUACCUUGGGUACACUGCUAAUACUUUUUUUUUUUUUUUAAAUUCCCCCAACAGCUGCUUUUCUUCAGUGAUAAUGGGAUGUCCCUAAGUGGCUAUUGAGUCCUUUGAGAUAAAUAAUUUCAGGACCAGAUUAAUUAAUAUAUUGAUCACAAUCCCCCGCGCUCGAGGCAGAGAGGAGACGGAGCUAUUCCUGACCCGGCCUGCUCGAAGGAAAUACCGAAAGAGUGUUGACCCAGCGUCUGCCAUCCAAAGUGACUCUCAUUGCCUUGGCAACACGACUCGCUCCUACCAGGAAUUAGCUGAAUGGUGUAAGAACCUGAAACGGCAUGUUUGUUCAAGGCAUGCAGUACUAGAUGCAGAAGCCAAGCAGAGAAGGAUGAAGGGAGAUUUUCUUUCGCAUCUUGCACAAUAAGUAGAAAUAAUCAGCAACUGUGCGCUGUGGCUGAGCAGUUUUAGCCGAUUGCUCUAGUAAGCGUGGUGGUUACCAUGAUAAAUC